UCACACUGUCAAGAAAAGCUUCUAUCGAGUUUAAAGGCGCCCGUACCGUAAACCGACACAGGUGGGUGAGGAGAGUAUCCUAAGGCCAGCGAGAGAACUAUUGUUAAGGAACUCGGCAAAAUGACCCCGUAACUUAGGGAGAAGGGGUGCCUGUCUAUGACAGGCCGCAGAGAAUAGGCCCAAGCGACUGUUUACCAAAAACACAGGUUUCUGCUAAGUCGCAAGACGAUGUAUAGGAGCUGACGCCUGCCCGGUGCUGGAAGGUUAAGGGGAUCUGUUAGAGCAAUCGAAGCAGUGAACUUAAGCCCCAGUAAACGGCGGCCGUAACAAUAACGGUCCUAAGGUAGCGAAAUUCCUUGUCGGGUAAGUUCCGACCCGCACGAAAGGCGUAACGAUUUGGGCACUGUCUCAACAAUAGACUCGGUGAAAUUGUAAUCCCGGUGAAGAUGCCGGGUACCUGCGACAGGACGGAAAGACCCCAUGGAGCUUUACUGUAGCUUGACGUUGGGUCUUGGUACUACAUGUACAGGAUAGGUGGGAGACUAUAAAGCAUGGACGCCAGUCUGUGUGGAGUCAUCCUUGGGAUACCACCCUUGUAGUACUGGGAUCCUAACCAUAGGCCUUGAAUCAGGUCUUGGAACACCGUCAGGUGGGCAGUUUGACUGGGGCGGUCGCCUCCUAAAAAGUAACGGAGGCGCUCAAAGGUUUCCUCAGCACGGUCGGAAAUCGUGCGAAGAGUGUAAAGGCAAAAGGAAGCUUGAUUGCAGGACAUACAGGUCGAGCAAGGACGGAAGUCGGACUUAGUGAUCCGGUGGUACCGCAUGGAAGGGCCAUCGCUCAACGGAUAAAAGCUACCCUGGGGAUAACAGGCUUAUCUCCCCCAAGAGUCCACAUCGACGGGGAGGUUUGGCACCUCGAUGUCGGCUCAUCACAUCCUGGGGCUGUAGUAGGUCCCAAGGGUUGGGCUGUUCGCCCAUUAAAGUGGUACGCGAGCUGGGUUCAGAACGUCGUGAGACAGUUCGGUCCCUAUCCGUCGCAGGCGUAGGAAAUUUGAGAAGACCUGUCCUUAGUACGAGAGGACCGGGAUGGACGUACCUCUGGUGUACCAGUUGUUCUGCCAAGGGCAUGGCUGGGUAGCUAUGUGCGGAAUGGAUAAGCGCUGAAAGCAUCUAAGCGCGAAGCCAACUUCAAGAUAAGAUUUCCCACCGUAAGGGUAAGACCCCAGGAAGGCUACCUGGUUGAUAGGUCGAAGGUGUAAGUGCAGUAAUGUAUUUAGCUUAUCGAUACUAAUAGGUCGAGGACUUGACC
This 1308-nucleotide ribosomal RNA is filed under the name metagenome. RNAcentral describes it as "bacterial LSU rRNA". It matches the Rfam family "Bacterial large subunit ribosomal RNA", at positions 1600 to 2925 of the family's 2925-position model. The record is from RNAcentral.